Molecule: ribosomal RNA, 497 nt
Filed under: uncultured bacterium
Lineage: Bacteria
Description: partial 16S ribosomal RNA
Rfam family: Bacterial small subunit ribosomal RNA
Source: RNAcentral
GAUGAACGCUGGCGGCGUGCCUAAUACAUGCAAGUCGAGCGAACGGACGAGAAGCUUGCUUCUCUGAUGUUAGCGGCGGACGGGUGAGUAACACGUGGAUAACCUACCUAUAAGACUGGGAUAACUUCGGGAAACCGGAGCUAAUACCGGAUGAUAUUUUGAACCGCAUGGUUCAAAAGUGAAAGACGGUCUUGCUGUCACUUAUAGAUGGAUCCCCGCUGCAUUAGCUAGUUGGUAAGGUAACGGCUUACCAAGGCAACGAUGCAUAGCCGACCUGAGAGAGUGAUCGGCCACACUGGAACUGAGACACGGUCCAGACUCCUACGGGACGCAGCAGUAGGGUAUCUUCCGCAAUGGGCGAAAGCCUGACGGAGCAACGCCGCGUGAGUGAUGAAGGUCUUCGGAUCGUAAAACUCUGUUAUUAGUGAAGAACAUAUGUGUAAGUAACUGUGCCCAUCUUGACGGUACCUAAUCAGAAAGCCCCGGCUAACUACGUG